CCAAUUACACAUUUCAAUCUUCAUUGUUGUGAGUUUGACAAGACUCUUUGCUGUUGAGUGUGUUAUCAAAUUUAUCAACCCAUUGCAGUUUGUUACCUUCAAAUAGGUCAUGUAACUAAAGGUAGCAGAGGAUGGAACCAACUUUAUCAGACUGGAACACUGAUAAACCCAAAUGCUUUCAAGAAAAUGUAGAACUGGGUCAAUCUAAACUCCUUCUUUGCAUAUACAUUGAAGCUUGGCCAGGUUCCAUAAUUUCAACUGUUUGAGUCGCGGUCUAAUUUGAGUUUCCUUUUCCGUUCUU
RNAcentral lists this long non-coding RNA (301 nucleotides) under Medicago truncatula (barrel medic). RNAcentral's name for it is "long non-coding RNA (MTRU_LNC002165)". Lineage: Eukaryota; Viridiplantae; Streptophyta; Magnoliopsida; Fabales; Fabaceae. The record is from RNAcentral.